This 1359-nucleotide ribosomal RNA is filed under the name uncultured bacterium. Its description in RNAcentral is "16S ribosomal RNA". It matches the Rfam family "Bacterial small subunit ribosomal RNA", at positions 28 to 1380 of the family's 1533-position model. The record is from RNAcentral.
GAUGAACGCUAGCUACAGGCUUAACACAUGCAAGUCGAGGGGCAGCAUGGUCUUAGCUUGCUAAGGCCGAUGGCGACCGGCGCACGGGUGAGUAACACGUAUCCAACCUGCCGUCUACUCUUGGACAGCCUUCUGAAAGGAAGAUUAAUACAAGAUGGCAUCAUGAGUCCGCAUGUUCACAUGAUUAAAGGUAUUCCGGUAGACGAUGGGGAUGCGUUCCAUUAGAUAGUAGGCGGGGUAACGGCCCACCUAGUCUUCGAUGGAUAGGGGUUCUGAGAGGAAGGUCCCCCACAUUGGAACUGAGACACGGUCCAAACUCCUACGGGAGGCAGCAGUGAGGAAUAUUGGUCAAUGGGCGAGAGCCUGAACCAGCCAAGUAGCGUGAAGGAUGACUGCCCUAUGGGUUGUAAACUUCUUUUAUAAAGGAAUAAAGUCGGGUAUGGAUACCCGUUUGCAUGUACUUUAUGAAUAAGGAUCGGCUAACUCCGUGCCAGCAGCCGCGGUAAUACGGAGGAUCCGAGCGUUAUCCGGAUUUAUUGGGUUUAAAGGGAGCGUAGAUGGAUGUUUAAGUCAGUUGUGAAAGUUUGCGGCUCAACCGUAAAAUUGCAGUUGAUACUGGAUAUCUUGAGUGCAGUUGAGGCAGGCGGAAUUCGUGGUGUAGCGGUGAAAUGCUUAGAUAUCACGAAGAACUCCGAUUGCGAAGGCAGCCUGCUAAGCUGCAACUGACAUUGAGGCUCGAAAGUGUGGGUAUCAAACAGGAUUAGAUACCCUGGUAGUCCACACGGUAAACGAUGAAUACUCGCUGUUUGCGAUAUACUGCAAGCGGCCAAGCGAAAGCGUUAAGUAUUCCACCUGGGGAGUACGCCGGCAACGGUGAAACUCAAAGGAAUUGACGGGGGCCCGCACAAGCGGAGGAACAUGUGGUUUAAUUCGAUGAUACGCGAGGAACCUUACCCGGGCUUAAAUUGCAGAUGAAUUACGGUGAAAGCCGUAAGCCGCAAGGCAUCUGUGAAGGUGCUGCAUGGUUGUCGUCAGCUCGUGCCGUGAGGUGUCGGCUUAAGUGCCAUAACGAGCGCGACCCUUGUUGUCAGUUACUAACAGGUUCCGCUGAGGACUCUGACAAGACUGCCAUCGUAAGAUGUGAGGAAGGUGGGGAUGACGUCAAAUCAGCACGGCCCUUACGUCCGGGGCUACACACGUGUUACAAUGGGGGGUACAGAGGGCCGCUACCACGCGAGUGGAUGCCAAUCCCCAAAACCUCUCUCAGUUCGGACUGGAGUCUGCAAACCCGACUCCACGAAAGCUGGAUUCGCUAGUAAUCGCGCAUCAGCCACGGCGCGGUGAAUACGUUCCCGGGCC